GACGAACGCUGGCGGCGUGCUUAACACAUGCAAGUCGAACGGAAAGGCCCUGCUUUUGUGGGGUGCUCGAGUGGCGAACGGGUGAGUAACACGUGAGUAACCUGCCCUUGACUUUGGGAUAACUUCAGGAAACUGGGGCUCAUACCGGAUAGGAGCUCCUGCUGCAUGGUGGGGGUUGGAAAGUUUCGGCGGUUGGGGAUGGACUCGCGGCUUAUCAGCUUGUUGGUGGGGUAGUGGCUUACCAAGGCUUUGACGGGUAGCCGGCCUGAGAGGGUGACCGGCCACAUUGGGACUGAGAUACGGCCCAGACUCCUACGGGAGGCAGCAGUGGGGAAUAUUGCACAAUGGGCGGAAGCCUGAUGCAGCAACGCCGCGUGCGGGAUGACGGCCUUCGGGUUGUAAACCGCUGUCGCCUGUGACGAAGCGUGAGUGACGGUAAUGGGUAAAGAAGCACCGGCUAACUACGUG
RNAcentral lists this ribosomal RNA (468 nucleotides) under uncultured bacterium. Its description in RNAcentral is "partial 16S ribosomal RNA". It matches the Rfam family "Bacterial small subunit ribosomal RNA", at positions 28 to 507 of the family's 1533-position model. The record is from RNAcentral.